UAAGACGUAAGGAACCUGCCCCUAUGCCUGGGAUAACUCUGGGAAACGAGAGCUAAUACCGGAUAGGUGAACGGAAGACAUCUUCGGUUCAUGAAAGAUGGGGAACAUCACAGAGAGAUGGCCUUACGGCGCAUUAGCUAGUUGGAGAGGUAGAGGCUCACCAAGGCGAUGAUGCGUAGCCGGCCUGAGAGGGUGAACGGCCACAUUGGGACUGAGACACGGCCCAGACUCCUACGGGAGGCAGCAG
RNAcentral lists this ribosomal RNA (247 nucleotides) under uncultured bacterium. Its description in RNAcentral is "partial 16S ribosomal RNA". It matches the Rfam family "Bacterial small subunit ribosomal RNA", at positions 111 to 354 of the family's 1533-position model. The record is from RNAcentral.